RNAcentral lists this transfer RNA (74 nucleotides) under Candidatus Woesearchaeota archaeon. Its description in RNAcentral is "tRNA-Cys". It matches the Rfam family "tRNA". From Rfam's summary of the family: Transfer RNA (tRNA) molecules are approximately 80 nucleotides in length. Their secondary structure includes four short double-helical elements and three loops (D, anti-codon, and T loops). Lineage: Archaea; Nanobdellati; Candidatus Woesearchaeota. The record is from RNAcentral.
GCGCCCGUCGCCAAGUCCGGUAAGGCAGUCGCCUGCAGAGCGACCAUUCCCCAGUUCGAAUCUGGGCGGGCGCU